Solanum pennellii is the source of this 799-nucleotide long non-coding RNA. RefSeq lists it as uncharacterized. The record is from RefSeq and is a predicted model, not a curated record. The transcript has 2 exons. Lineage: Eukaryota; Viridiplantae; Streptophyta; Magnoliopsida; Solanales; Solanaceae.
CAACAUUCCUUUCAGCCCAAUUCUUUCUUCUUUGCGGAAAGCCCAAAUUUUUUCCUAAAACAACCCAAAUCUUCUAUCAAUUUCCAGCCACAACAAUCCUAGAAGCACUGUAUAGAUAAUUGAGAUAGAGGAAUACUCAAGUUUUGAUUUCGUUUUCGAGCUUGACAUUCUCUCUGUUGUGUUGUAAUCUCAUUUUGGUGGUGGAAUCAUCCUCGUGUCUAGCUCGUCCGUUCCGGUCACUGCCCAAAAAAAGGAUGACUUGUGGCUUGCCGUAGUAGUUCCUAAAUUCUGUUUCGAUAUUGAGAUGUCAUUCUUUCUAUGCUUCUGGUAUCUAUGCUUCUUGUAUCGAUGUAAUGUAUCGGCUCUCAUAUAAGUUUAUUGUUAUUACAUGCGAUGUCAAUCCGAGUUCACUAUGAACUCCUAUCAUCCUCCCCUUGCAUUUCGAGAGAGCCAUUAAGGCUCAAGUUCCUUCCAUCGAGUCAAGCACAUUAAAAAUCGACGUACAAGUCGGAAAAUGCAGAAGCAGAAGAGAAUGGAGAAAAUUGGACCAAAGAGUCCAAAUUUAUUAUUUUUUUUCGAAGUGUUGUAUUUUAUUAUCCUUGGGGCCUAAGCCCUUGUUUCUUUUAUCAUUGUAUUGUUAAAUCUUAGGACAGGUGAAAAUUGGGUCUUAGGCCUAAGAAGUAAAAAGAUUUAUUAUCUUGUUAGUUCAGGACAGGUAAAAAACCUAAUGGGCCUAAGGUCCAACAAAAAAAUGAUCCAAAUACCAAUCCAGGCGGACAGAAUCCGGAUUUGAACCCAA